AUACGUAGGGGGCGAGCGUUGUCCGGAAUGAUUGGGCGUAAAGGGCGCGUAGGCGGCGCGGUAAGUCUGGAGUGAAAGUCCUGCUUUCAAGGUGGGAAUUGCUUUGGAUACUGCCGCGCUUGAGUGCAGGAGAGGUUAUCGGAAUUCCCGGUGUAGCGGUGAAAUGCGUAGAGAUCGGGAGGAACACCAGUGGCGAAGGCGGGUAACUGGACUGCAACUGACGCUGAGGCGCGAAAGUGUGGGGAGCAAACAGGAUUAGAUACCCUGGUAGUCCACACUGUAAGCGAUGAAUGCUAGGUGUAAGAGGUAUCGACCCCUUUUGUGCCGGAGUCAACACAAUAAGCAUUCCGCCUGGGGAGUACGGCCGCAAGGUUGAAACUCAAAGGAAUUGACGGGG
This 397-nucleotide ribosomal RNA is filed under the name uncultured bacterium. RNAcentral's name for it is "partial 16S ribosomal RNA". It matches the Rfam family "Bacterial small subunit ribosomal RNA", at positions 523 to 918 of the family's 1533-position model. The record is from RNAcentral.